AUGAAGUGCUCCAAAUCUUCCAGUCUUGGUAUCGUCGAAGCUGAAAUUUGCAACGCUGCUGAGCUUGGAAGCGGUGGGCAAAGUGGUGGAUUCCCCACUGAAGCCGGUGUGUUCCAAGUUUGCUCUGAAGCUACCAGUGGAUGGACCAUGUAUUUUUGUCAAAUUAUUAAUGAUGCCUCUGUAGUUCUUCGUGAUUUAAUACAACAAUUCCUCCUAUACUAUUUAGUGGCUGAAAAUUUUCAUUGUUAUCAAGAGCUUACUUUUAUUCUUAGUAAUUCAUACGACACAGUUCUGGCUAUUGAAGCUGUCCUAUUGACAACUGUUGCUGUUUCAUAUGAUACUCUCUUGACAGUAGGAACCUGA
This 363-nucleotide ribosomal RNA is filed under the name Triticum aestivum (bread wheat). RNAcentral's name for it is "partial small subunit ribosomal RNA". The record is from RNAcentral. Lineage: Eukaryota; Viridiplantae; Streptophyta; Magnoliopsida; Poales; Poaceae.